Molecule: long non-coding RNA, 343 nt
Organism: Helianthus annuus (common sunflower)
Lineage: Eukaryota; Viridiplantae; Streptophyta; Magnoliopsida; Asterales; Asteraceae
Exons: 3
Source: RefSeq, a predicted model, not a curated record
UCGACCAGGGCAGGAGAAAACAAGGGUUUACCCUUGUUCUUGUAAGAUUCAACAAAUUAACAAAGGAAUUCAAGGCCAAUCAGUUGCAUGUCAUCAAAUUCUCGUUUAACACGUCAUACUCAAUAGAGUGGCGUGAAAGAAGAAGGCUGAAACACUAAGAAAACGGGAGACUCGCAAGAUCGAGGUAAAUCCUCAAUUUAGGCGACUUGGCAAUUUGGAGCGAGCAUAUGCACACUUGAUGGUUAUCAAGCGCUUCCGCUAUUACGUAUUAAUGUUUUGGGUCAAAUGCUCGUUUUUUUUAUAUAACAUUGUUAGUGGUUACACUUUUUAACACUUGAUGUAU